Molecule: long non-coding RNA, 395 nt
Organism: Octopus sinensis (East Asian common octopus)
Lineage: Eukaryota; Metazoa; Mollusca; Cephalopoda; Octopoda; Octopodidae
Exons: 3
Source: RefSeq, a predicted model, not a curated record
UGUGUGUGUGUGUGUAUGUAUAUAUGUGAGCACAAGUGUGUACCUACGCUGCUACAUGUAUAUAUAAAUAUAAAAAAUGGAACAAAAAUGUAAUAGAGGACAAUAAAACAUUCGGACAAACAGACGAUACAAAGGCGGAUAGGAGAAACAAUAAUUUGAAGGACAGGCAAAAAAAGGACAGGUCAUUCGUGACCUUCUUUCUUCAGUCAAAUUACCAGAUGUCCUUACUGUUUCGGGCAAUUACACUUGAGACAGUUCGAUCUGGUUGCUCCCAAAAAAGCCUAAGCUAAGAGCAUUAGAUCUUUUGUAAGAAAGCUAGCAAUGUGUACAGCAACAAAGACAAAAAACGGAGAACAUGGUACACAAUUACAAACACAAACAACAAGAUUAUAACA